CGGUAAUACGAAGGGACCUAGCGUAGUUCGGAAUUACUGGGCUUAAAGAGCUCGUAGGUGGUUAGAAAAGUUGGUGGUGAAAUCCCAAGGCUUAACCUUGGAACUGCCAUCAAAACUUUUUGACUAGAGUAUGAUAGAGGUAAGUGGAAUUUCUAGUGUAGAGGUGAAAUUCGUAGAUAUUAGAAAGAACACCAAUUGCGAAGGCAACUUUCUGGAUCAUUACUGACACUGAGGAGCGAAAGCAUGGGUAGCGAAGAGGAUUAGAUACCCUCGUAGUCCAUGCCGUAAACGAUGUGUGCUAGACGUUGGAAAUUUUAUUUUCAGUGUCGCAGCAAAAGCGUUAAGCACACCGCCUGGGGAGUACGACCGCAAGGUUAAAACUCAAAUGAAUUGACGGGGACCCGCACAAGCAGUGGAGCAUGUGGUUUAAUUCGAAGAUACGCGCAGAACCUUACCAACACUUGACAUGUUCGUCGCGACUUUAAGAGAUUAGAGUCUUCGGUUCGGCCGGACGAAACACAGGUGCUGCAUGGCUGUCGUCAGCUCGUGUCGUGAGAUGUUGGGUUAAGUCCCGCAACGAGCGCAACCCUUACUUUUAGUUGCCACCAUUUAGUUGAGCACUCUAAAAGAACUGCCGGUGAUAAGCUGGAGGAAGGCGGGGAUGACGUCAAGUCCUCAUGGCCCUUACGUGUUGGGCUACACACGUGCUACAAUGGUACUUACAAUGAGAUGCAAAGAGGCGACUCCUAGCCAAUCUCAAAAAGGUACCUCAGUUCGGAUUGUACUCUGCAACUCGAGUACAUGAAGCUGGAAUUGCUAGUAAUCGCGGAUCAGCGCGCCGCGGUGAAUACGUUCCCGGG
This 860-nucleotide ribosomal RNA is filed under the name uncultured bacterium. Its description in RNAcentral is "bacterial SSU rRNA". It matches the Rfam family "Bacterial small subunit ribosomal RNA", at positions 518 to 1378 of the family's 1533-position model. The record is from RNAcentral.